RNAcentral lists this unclassified non-coding RNA (710 nucleotides) under Hevea brasiliensis (rubber tree). The record is from RNAcentral. Lineage: Eukaryota; Viridiplantae; Streptophyta; Magnoliopsida; Malpighiales; Euphorbiaceae.
AAAAACUAAGGCCAGACCACAAUUUGCAAGAUGUAAGGGCCAAGAUUUUCCCAUUCAAAAGAAGAAAGGUGGAGGCAUCUGAAGUCACACCCACAGCUAUAUUACCAGUUAGAAGGAAGGAAAGAUCACUUUCAUCAUUGGUGGUCAGCACUCCCAAAGUAUCAACACAGACUACUACUACAGGAAGAAGAACAAAACCUGUUCCAAGAAAGGCUACUGCUUUACGAGGUUCCAGUUUUCCUAUUGAGAAACGCAUUAAAAAAGAGGAAGAUGCCAUGGAAGGCUGUAGCCUUUCUUGGAACAGGUUNNNNAAACCAUAAAUAAGUUCAAUCAGAAUCUAAGGCAGAAUUCUUCCUCUGCCGAGGCCAACCAACCUGCUCCCAAUAAUGAAACAGAUAAUGGUGCUGAAUCAUGGGAUGGGAAAUCAGAUCUCUGGCAACCAUUGAAUUGUUUAGUGGAAGUUGCAAAUAGGACCAAGUCUUUCAAACCUACUUCACAAGUUUCCGAUGCUAAACUGGAAUCUACUCAUGAUCCUGACAAUGAACCUCAUGUGCGUAAAACCAAAUUUAGGGAAAACAAAGACAAAGUAAAAGUAGAGGAUGAGAAUAAUAACAAUGAUUCUGUGCCUUCAGAGUCAACUGGACCCAAAAGGUUGCGCAGGAUUCGUCGAAAAAAGGCUUCUAAUUUUGGAUAUCUGGGCAUUUCCUCCC